Molecule: ribosomal RNA, 253 nt
Filed under: uncultured bacterium
Lineage: Bacteria
Description: partial 16S ribosomal RNA
Rfam family: Bacterial small subunit ribosomal RNA
Source: RNAcentral
UACGAAGGGUGCAAGCGUUACUCGGAAUUACUGGGCGUAAAGCGUGCGUAGGCGGUUUGUUAAGUCUGCUGUGAAAGCCCUGGGCUCAACCUGGGAAUGGCAUUGGAUACUGGCAACCUAGAAUGUGGUAGAGGGUGGCGGAAUUCCCGGUGUAGCAGUGAAAUGCGUAGAUAUCGGGAGGAACAUCCGUGGCGAAGGCGGCCACCUGGACCAACAUUGACGCUGAGGCACGAAAGCGUGGGGAGCAAACAGG